AAGCUUCCAAGAAAAGCCCUAUACCCGUUAAGGCAUGAUUACCUGUACCCGAAACCGACACAGGUGGGGUGGUAGAGAAUACCGAGGGGCGCGAGGUAACUCUCUCUAAGGAACUCGGCAAAAUGACCCCGUAACUUCGGGAGAAGGGGUGCCAGCGCGAGCUGGUCGCAGUGAAUAGGCCCAGGCGACUGUUUACCAAAAACACAGGUCUCCGCUAAGUCGCAAGACGAUGUAUGGGGGCUGACGCCUGCCCAGUGCCGGAAGGUUAAAGAAGUUGGUCAGCGCAAGCGAAGCUAACGACUGAAGCCCCGGUGAACGGCGGCCGUAACAAUAACGGUCCUAAGGUAGCGAAAUUCCUUGUCGGGUAAGUUCCGACCCGCACGAAAGGCGUAACGAUCUGGGCGCUGUCUCGGAGAGAGGCUCGGCGAAAUAGAAUUGUCUGUGAAGAUGCGGACUACGUGCACCCGGACAGAAAGACCCUAUGAAGCUUUACUGUAGCUUGGUAUUGUGCUCGGGCUCGCAAUGCGCAGGAUAGGUGGGAGGCUUUGAUCCAUUGCUUGUGGGUGAUGGUGAGCCACUGGUGAGAUACCACUCUUUGCGAGCUAGGGUUCUAACGGUUACCCGUCAUCCGGGAACCGGACAGUAUCUGGUGGGCAGUUUGACUGGGGCGGUCGCCUCCUAAAAGGUAACGGAGGCGCGCAAAGGUUUGCUCAGGCUGGUUGGAAAUCAGCCGACGAGUGUAAAAGCAGAAGCAAGCUUGACUGUGAGACCUACAAGUCGAACAGGGAGGAAACUCGGCUUUAGUGAUCCGACGGUUCUGAGUGGAAGGGCCGUCGCUCAACGGAUAAAAGUUACUCUAAGGAUAACAGGCUGAUCUCCCCCAAGAGUUCACAUCGACGGGGAGGUUUGGCACCUCGAUGUCGGCUCAUCGCAACCUGGGGCUGAAGUCGGUCCCAAGGGUUGGGCUGUUCGCCCAUUAAAGCGGUACGCGAGCUGGGUUCAGAACGUCGUGAGACAGUUCGGUCCAUAUCCGGUGCAUGCGCAGGAAUAUUGAGAGGAUUUCUCCCUAGUACGAGAGGACCGGGAGGAACGCACCUCUGGUGUACCAGUUAUCGUGCCAACGGUAAACGCUGGGUAGCCAUGUGCGGAGUGGAUAACCGCUGAAAGCAUCUAAGUGGGAAGCCCACCUCAAGAUGAGUAUUCCCAUGGCUUAAGCCAGUAAGGUCACGGGAAGAACACCCGUUGAUAGGCUCUAUGUGGAAGCGCAGUAAUGCGUGAAGCAGAGGAGUACUAAUAGACC
RNAcentral lists this ribosomal RNA (1300 nucleotides) under metagenome. RNAcentral's name for it is "bacterial LSU rRNA". It matches the Rfam family "Bacterial large subunit ribosomal RNA", at positions 1602 to 2910 of the family's 2925-position model. The record is from RNAcentral.